Molecule: ribosomal RNA, 888 nt
Filed under: Teratosphaeria cryptica
Lineage: Eukaryota; Fungi; Ascomycota; Dothideomycetes; Mycosphaerellales; Teratosphaeriaceae
Description: eukaryotic LSU rRNA
Rfam family: Eukaryotic large subunit ribosomal RNA
Source: RNAcentral
UAUCAAUAAGCGGAGGAAAAGAAACCAACAGGGAUUGCCCUAGUAACGGCGAGUGAAGCGGCAACAGCUCAAAUUUGAAAUCUGGCGCAAGCCCGAGUUGUAAUUUGUAGAGGAUGCUUCAGGGCAGCGGCCGGUCUAAGUUCCUUGGAACAGGACGUCAUAGAGGGUGAGAAUCCCGUAUGCGACCGGUUGGCACCCGUCACGUAGCUCCUUCGACGAGUCGAGUUGUUUGGGAAUGCAGCUCUAAAUGGGAGGUAAAUUUCUUCUAAAGCUAAAUACCGGCCAGAGACCGAUAGCGCACAAGUAGAGUGAUCGAAAGAUGAAAAGCACUUUGGAAAGAGAGUUAAAAAGCACGUGAAAUUGUUGAAAGGGAAGCGCAUGCAACCAGACUUGUCGGCGGUGUUCCGCCGGUCUUCUGACCGGUCCAUUCGCCGCCGACAGGCCAGCAUCAUCUGGGCGCGCCGGAUAAAGGCGUAGGGAAUGUGGCUCCUCGGAGUAUUAUAGCCCCGCGCACAAUACGGCGCCGCUCGGGUGAGGUCCGCGCUUCGGCUAGGAUGCUGGCGUAAUGGUUGUCUGCGGCCCGUCUUGAAACACGGACCAAGGAGUCUAACAUCUAUGCGAGUGUUCGGGCGUCAAACCCCUACGCGUAAUGAAAGUGAACGGAGGUGGGAAGCGCAAGCUGCACCAUCGACCGAUCCUGAUGUCUUCGGAUGGAUUUGAGUAAGAGCAUAGCUGUUGGGACCCGAAAGAUGGUGAACUAUGCCUGAAUAGGGUGAAGCCAGAGGAAACUCUGGUGGAGGCUCGCAGCGGUUCUGACGUGCAAAUCGAUCGUCAAAUUUGGGUAUAGGGGCGAAAGACUAAUCGAACCAUCUAGUAGCUGGUUCCUGC